Manis javanica (Malayan pangolin) is the source of this 993-nucleotide non-coding RNA. NCBI's taxonomy places the organism in Eukaryota, Metazoa, Chordata, Mammalia, Pholidota, Manidae. The record is from RefSeq and is a predicted model, not a curated record.
UGGAUGCGAGGGACUGAGGAAGGCCGUGGGCACCAGCUGGGGCCACACUUCAGCGGCUUCUCAAAGGGCCGCGUGUCUGGAAUCAGACCCCGACAGCCCGACUGGGUGUCCAUGAGGAGUGACUCUCUCUGUCUCUCUGGCUUCCAGCCUGCUUCUUCAGGCUGCCCUGGCCUCUGAGUGAGGCAGGGGAUGUUACUAACUCUCUCCUAACUUCAUCAGUUUCACGGAACAUGAUGCCCACCACAGCAAGAACCUUGCAGAUUAGUUGUGGCCUCUGCAUCCUCCCUUUGGAACUGCUAGGGACACGGGGAGCAGCCUGGAAGAAUGCCUCAGCCUCUGCUGAAGGGGACAGAGCGUGGUCACGAACAAGAUUAAUGAUACCAAAAAGAAAAAGACAAAGACAAAGAAAAAAAAAAAGGAAAAAGCCAGAAGAAACUCUUCUGAGUUUAUUUUCACAGAUUACACACAGUGGGACAUUAUGUAUGAAACAGACCAUGACAUCAAGGUCUUCUAUGGGACAGCUGAUAGCACAUGGACUUUUAACCAACCACCCUUGCCAGUGACCAAAUGACUAAUCUUAAGAAAGCCUCCUCACCGCGAAGUGCAGCACCCGAUGAUGGACCAGCAAAGGCAAUUCUACUCUGACAAACACGAAAUAAACUUGGAUGUAACAUGAUGGCAGAGCUGCUUACACCUUAGGGUCACCCACUAAAUCUUCACUGAACCGUUCUCUUGCUCCCUGGAAGGGUGGCCAAGCCUAUGGUACACCAGGACACCGAGGUCUACGGGAAGAUACUCAAGCCUUUCUCAUGGGCAGCCUUUCUUCAGUUAGUAAAAGAAAGAGGAACUUCACCAACUGUCACAUGAGUUUAAAAUUUUGAAGAGACCUGCCUCUUUUGUGGCACAGGUAACUAAUAUACUAACCACAUUAAAAAAAAGUACUCCCCCCUGUAUGGCCCCAGAAGAUGACUGGUUAGCCAGAGACGGGUAAGA